RNAcentral lists this ribosomal RNA (2891 nucleotides) under Acinetobacter baumannii 722310. RNAcentral's name for it is "bacterial LSU rRNA". It matches the Rfam family "Bacterial large subunit ribosomal RNA". The record is from RNAcentral. Lineage: Bacteria; Pseudomonadati; Pseudomonadota; Gammaproteobacteria; Moraxellales; Moraxellaceae.
UCAAGUAAUUAAGUGCAUGUGGUGGAUGCCUUGGCAGUCAGAGGCGAUGAAAGACGUGAUAGCCUGCGAAAAGCUCCGGGGAGGCGGCAAAUAUCCUUUGAUCCGGAGAUGUCUGAAUGGGGGAACCCACCUACUUUAAGGUAGGUAUUGCAACAUGAAUACAUAGUGUUGCAAGGCGAACGAGGGGAAGUGAAACAUCUCAGUACCCUUAGGAAAAGAAAUCAAUUGAGAUUCCCUCAGUAGCGGCGAGCGAACGGGGAUCAGCCCAUUAAGUUAUGUGUGUUUUAGUGGAACGCUCUGGGAAGUGCGAACGUAGAGGGUGAUAUUCCCGUACACGAAAGGGCACACAUAAUGAUGACGAGUAGGGCGAGGCACGUGAAACCUUGUCUGAAUAUGGGGGGACCAUCCUCCAAGGCUAAAUACUCCUGACUGACCGAUAGUGAACCAGUACCGUGAGGGAAAGGCGAAAAGAACCCCUGUGAGGGGAGUGAAAUAGAUCCUGAAACCGCAUGCAUACAAGCAGUGGGAGCACCUUCGUGGUGUGACUGCGUACCUUUUGUAUAAUGGGUCAGCGACUUAUAUUCAGUAGCGAGGUUAACCGUAUAGGGGAGCCGUAGAGAAAUCGAGUCUUAAUAGGGCGUUUAGUUGCUGGGUAUAGACCCGAAACCAGGCGAUCUAUCCAUGAGCAGGUUGAAGGUUGGGUAACACUAACUGGAGGACCGAACCCACUGUCGUUGAAAAGCCAGGGGAUGACUUGUGGAUAGGGGUGAAAGGCUAAUCAAGCCUGGUGAUAGCUGGUUCUCCCCGAAAGCUAUUUAGGUAGCGCCUCGGACGAAUACCAUAGGGGGUAGAGCACUGUUUCGGCUAGGGGGUCAUCCCGACUUACCAAACCGAUGCAAACUCCGAAUACCUAUGAGUACUAUCCGGGAGACAGACUGCGGGUGCUAACGUCCGUAGUCAAGAGGAAAACAAUCCAGACCGCCAGCUAAGGCCCCAAAAUCAUAGUUAAGUGGGAAACGAUGUGGGAAGGCAUAGACAGCUAGGAGGUUGGCUUAGAAGCAGCCACCCUUUAAAGAAAGCGUAAUAGCUCACUAGUCGAGUCGGCCUGCGCGGAAGAUGUAACGGGGCUAAAACUAUGUGCCGAAGCUGCGGAUGUAUACUUUGUAUACGUGGUAGGGGAGCGUUCUGUAAGCCGAUGAAGGUGUGUUGAGAAGCAUGCUGGAGGUAUCAGAAGUGCGAAUGCUGACGUGAGUAACGACAAAACGGGUGAAAAACCCGUUCGCCGAAAGACCAAGGGUUCCAGUCCAACGUUAAUCGGGGCUGGGUGAGUCGACCCCUAAGGCGAGGCCGAAAGGCGUAGUCGAUGGGAAAAUGGUUAAUAUUCCAUUACUUCUGUGUAAUGCGAUGAGAGGACGGAGAAGGCUAAAUCAGCCUGGCGUUGGUUGUCCAGGUGAAAGGAUGUAGGCAUGUAUCUUAGGCAAAUCCGGGGUACUCUAUGCUGAGAUCUGAUAGCAAGCUGUACUUGUACAGCGAAGUGGUUGAUGCCAUGCUUCCAGGAAAAGUCUCUAAGCUUCAGUUACACAGGAAUCGUACCCGAAACCGACACAGGUGGUCAGGUCGAGUAGACCAAGGCGCUUGAGAGAACUCUGCUGAAGGAACUAGGCAAAAUGGUACCGUAACUUCGGGAGAAGGUACGCUGUUGUUGGUGAUGGAACUCGCUUCCUGAGCUGACGACAGCCGCAGAAACCAGGCCGCUGCAACUGUUUAUUAAAAACAUAGCACUCUGCAAACACGAAAGUGGACGUAUAGGGUGUGAUGCCUGCCCGGUGCUGGAAGGUUAAUUGAUGGGGUUAGCGUAAGCGAAGCUCUUGAUCGAAGCCCCAGUAAACGGCGGCCGUAACUAUAACGGUCCUAAGGUAGCGAAAUUCCUUGUCGGGUAAGUUCCGACCUGCACGAAUGGCAUAAUGAUGGCGGCGCUGUCUCCAGCAGAGGCUCAGUGAAAUCGAAAUCGCUGUGAAGAUGCAGUGUACCCGCGGCUAGACGGAAAGACCCCGUGAACCUUUACUGCAGCUUGACACUGAACUUUGACCUUACUUGUGUAGGAUAGGUGGGAGGCUUUGAAGCUGGAACGCUAGUUCCAGUGGAGCCGUCCUUGAAAUACCACCCUGGUAAUGUUGAGGUUCUAACUCUGUCCCGUGAUCCGGGACGAGGACCGUGUCUGGUGGGUAGUUUGACUGGGGCGGUCUCCUCCUAAAGAGUAACGGAGGAGUACGAAGGUGCGCUCAGCGUGGUCGGAAAUCACGCGUAGAGUAUAAAGGCAAAAGCGCGCUUAACUGCGAAACCCACAAGUCGAGCAGGUACGAAAGUAGGUCUUAGUGAUCCGGUGGUUCUGUAUGGAAGGGCCAUCGCUCAACGGAUAAAAGGUACUCUGGGGAUAACAGGCUGAUACCGCCCAAGAGUUCAUAUCGACGGCGGUGUUUGGCACCUCGAUGUCGGCUCAUCUCAUCCUGGGGCUGAAGCAGGUCCCAAGGGUAUGGCUGUUCGCCAUUUAAAGAGGUACGCGAGCUGGGUUUAGAACGUCGUGAGACAGUUCGGUCCCUAUCUACCGUGGGCGCUGGAAAUUUGAGAGGAUCUGCUCCUAGUACGAGAGGACCAGAGUGGACGAACCUCUGGUGUACCGGUUGUGACGCCAGUCGCAUCGCCGGGUAGCUAUGUUCGGAAGGGAUAACCGCUGAAAGCAUCUAAGCGGGAAGCCUACCUCAAGAUAAGAUUUCCCUAGGACUUUAUGUCCUCUAAAGAGCCGUUCGAGACUAGGACGUUGAUAGGUUGGAUGUGGAAGCAUAGUGAUAUGUGAAGCUGACCAAUACUAAUUGCUCGUGAGGCUUGACUAU